Molecule: unclassified non-coding RNA, 259 nt
Filed under: uncultured fungus
Lineage: Eukaryota; Fungi
Description: sequence contains 5.8S rRNA gene
Rfam family: 5.8S ribosomal RNA (bases 1-53)
Source: RNAcentral
GAACGCACCUUGCGCCCGCCAGUAUUCUGGCGGGCAUGCCUGUCCGAGCGUCAUUUCAACCCUCAAGCCCCCGGGCUUGGUGUUGGAGAUCGGCGAGCCCCCCGGGGCGCGCCGUCUCCCAAAUAUAGUGGCGGUCCCGCUGUAGCUUCCUCUGCGUAGUAGCACACCUCGCACUGGGAAACAGCGUGGCCACGCCGUAAAACCCCCCACUUCUGAAAGGUUGACCUCGGAUCAGGUAGGAAUACCCGCUGAACUUAAG